CAGUUCAAGACAAAUUCCAGAUUUCAAAGCUCAAUUUGAAAAAAGGAAAGGCAGGGCAAAUGAUGGGCAAAUUGGACAAACUAGGCAUCGUUAGAAAGCUUAAGGUGUCCUUUACGAAUUCCUAUUAGGUGACAAUUGCAAUUUAAGUCUUUUUCUAGUUCAAGCAAAGCCAUUUGUAUAAAUGGUCAGAUCAGAUCAUAACAAGCAGAACACAUCAGCAGAUUAGUGCUCUUUGCAAGAAGCAUCAGGCAGGGCAAAUGAUGGUCAAAUCGCACAUAUAAUAUGUCUAUGGAAAGCUUGAGAAGUCUAUUACAAAUCACUAGAAGAUGUUAAGUCCUAAUAACAUCACCUAGCAGUUCAUAUCAAGCGGUUUACACAGAAGGUCAUUCAGAACAGAGAGCAAGUCAGAACACCAAAAUUUUCCAGAAAACUGGUGCUAAAUGCCGAGCUACUUUCAGGUAGUAAACGACAUCGGAUCGGAACGUUCUGUGGGUCGUUGGAAAGGUCUUUGAGUCUUCUUCAACUCUCGUGAAUACAUCGAACACAGAAAACCACAGCAACCAGCUCAUAUCAGGUCAUUUGCACAAAAGGUCAUCCGAAACAGA
This 605-nucleotide long non-coding RNA is filed under the name Eucalyptus grandis. Its description in RNAcentral is "long non-coding RNA (EGRA_LNC000616)". The record is from RNAcentral. Lineage: Eukaryota; Viridiplantae; Streptophyta; Magnoliopsida; Myrtales; Myrtaceae.